GAAACUGCAAGCCCUCCUUUCUGUUUCUGUUGUAGUGAAACCUUCCACCGUCUCCUUCUCGGAUCAUGAAGGGCAAAAACAAAAAAACAAAAAAAAUCACAAAACAAAAAACAAAACAAAAAAAGAUGUUAAGAUCCAAGCAACAACAACAACAAAAAAAAAAAUACCAACCAAACCAAGAGGCAUCCAACCAAGUCCAAGUCCACGUCUGGCGUACACCCGCACCGAGGGAGCUCGUCCCCCAGGGGGCGCCGGAGAGUGGCUUUGCCUGGCUGGCGGUGCAGUGGGGACGCGGCCAGGCACUGGGGAAGACCUGAAGGGGAAACGUGGCCAGUGGGUGUGGGGCGGGGGGGCUCCGGUAUCUAUCCAGUCUUCCUUUCCCACCCUGCUCCCCAGAUAGGGGGUUCCUAGGGUGGACCAGGCCCCUGAGAAGGAACGGCCAGCUGACUUGGGCUGCUGAGCCCUGAAGGGGCUGGAGCAGUUAGGGGCCAGCGGCUUAUCACUCAUCCCAGGUCUCCAGCCUGGCCUCAUUGAAUGUGCUGCCAGUGCCGUCAGCUAUCCAACCAGCCGCCCUGGGUUCCAACUCCCGAUGCAAAGGGCUGACACGGCUCCAGAAUUCUGGGGCACCCCAUGCUCCGCUCCCCUAUGUGAGAAAGCUUCCGGCUACAGAGAACAAAGAAAGCCCAGCCAGUGGGGACGCAGUCCUCACGCUGUGAACGUGGACAGGUGGGCCCUCGGGCACAGUGUUGUUUGUUGUGGCAGCCUCCCAGAAGGAGGCGCUGUGGGCUCGAAGGCCAGCCUCCGCUGUCUGCUAGGACCCAGCCCUUCUUUCCACUCCAUCUGUAGGCUCGGUUCUGCUGGGGAGUGGGGAAUGAGACGGGCCAGCCCCAGGCUGCACCUCGAGGUUGGGAGCCAAGGUGCUAUGGGUCUGGAGGGCCACAGUCAGAGCAGGACCCAUGGGAAAGACAAGGGAUGGGGAAGGUCUGGGCUGGCCCUGCCACAAUGGAGGCCGGCUGGGCUGCAGCCCAUUUGCUCCCUGAGCAGGUGAAGUAAGGGAGUCAGAGGAAAGCAGCAGGCCCAGAGGAUGGAACAGGGAAGAGGUAUCGAGAAGCCCCUGGGCAAGGCAGGGAUAGGUGGAGUAGGGUUAACAGCAAAAAAUUAACAGAAACCAAGGCUCCCGACGCGGCACCACUGUCUCAUGACACCUCGAAAUAAAUCACCUCACUUUCUAUCCAGCAUCAGCCACAGAAGCUAUGGAAACGGAACCCUCCUUUUCUAUUCCUGUUGUACAUAGCCCCGCGCCUGCCUCCGGCUCUGUCCUCUGUACAGAGCCCCUUGCCUUCUGCUGUUUCGGACCCUUUUCCCGCAGCAGCUCGGACCCCUCCUCCCAGCCCCUCCCAGGACUGCAGCCGAGCCCCAGGCUUCCUUUCUUACCAUUCUGUAUGCUUCCACGGUGUGACCAUUCAAAUUAACAGUAUUAUUAUUAAGAUUAAUAAAGAUUUCUUUCUUCAAACCAGGAA
RNAcentral lists this long non-coding RNA (1520 nucleotides) under Rattus norvegicus (Norway rat). RNAcentral's name for it is "long non-coding RNA NONRATT006327". The record is from RNAcentral. Lineage: Eukaryota; Metazoa; Chordata; Mammalia; Rodentia; Muridae.